UUGAGAUAAGCCUUGAUCUCGGGGAUGCCGGGGCCGGCGGCGGUGGGGGCGAAGACGACGCAGAGCACGGCGGCGACGAAGGUGAGCGCGAAGUUGACGCCGGCGAAGUAGAGGAAGCCCGCCCAGUAGCGCUUCUCGCGGACGAGGUUGACCAUGUGUUGCAUCUUGAGGCCGGAGAUGUUCUCGAUGGCGAGGUUGAUGAGGGACGCGAUGACGCCGGUGAGGAGGCCGACGAGGAACGCCAUGGCCCACUUGAGGAAGAUGUACUGCAGCACCUCCACGUUGGACCGGCUGCGCCAGUCGUGCUUGAACAGAUCGUUCUCGAUGAUCCUGCAUGCCAAGAACAGAACAAGCAGAGCAAUUGAACUUUGAGACGCAAGAGCAGAGCCCGCCGGCGUUCAUCAUCAGCCAUGAUGACAAGCAAGGAGGUACGGUAGUAGUAAGAAGAAGUAGGAAUGCUCACUCGUAGUCGAGGCUCUCGAUGUGGGAGACCUUGGCGCCGACGAUGGCGAGGUGGCUGGCCGUCAGGGUGGUGCUCCGCUUGAGCAGCGGCUGCUCCAGGGAGCUGAUGCCGUUGCCGUCACCGCCGCCGCCGGUGCUCUCCGGGUCUUCUGGGUCUUUCACACCGUCGUCGUUCUUACAUUCCGGCUCCGGCCAUUCCA
Molecule: long non-coding RNA, 662 nt
Filed under: Sorghum bicolor (sorghum)
Lineage: Eukaryota; Viridiplantae; Streptophyta; Magnoliopsida; Poales; Poaceae
Description: long non-coding RNA (SBIC_LNC018308)
Source: RNAcentral